This is a long non-coding RNA of Melanotaenia boesemani (Boeseman's rainbowfish), 91 nucleotides long. RefSeq lists it as uncharacterized. The record is from RefSeq and is a predicted model, not a curated record. NCBI's taxonomy places the organism in Eukaryota, Metazoa, Chordata, Actinopteri, Atheriniformes, Melanotaeniidae. The transcript has 4 exons.
GAGUGAUCCACCGCUAAGAGUUGUACAGUUUUCGUUUUCAGGUUGGAGGCCAAGCUUCCGAGACUGGGGGGGUUGAACGAGCUUCAGCAGA